UACGUAGGGGGCAAGCGUUAUCCGGAUUUACUGGGUGUAAAGGGAGCGUAGACGGCGGUGCAAGCCAGAUGUGAAAGCCCGGGGCUCAACCCCGGGACUGCAUUUGGAACUGUGCUGCUAGAGUGUCGGAGAGGCAGGCGGAAUUCCUAGUGUAGCGGUGAAAUGCGUAGAUAUUAGGAGGAACACCAGUGGCGAAGGCGGCCUGCUGGACUGCAACUGACGUUGAGGCCCGAAAGCGUGGGGAGCAAACAGG
RNAcentral lists this ribosomal RNA (253 nucleotides) under uncultured bacterium. Its description in RNAcentral is "partial 16S ribosomal RNA". It matches the Rfam family "Bacterial small subunit ribosomal RNA", at positions 524 to 776 of the family's 1533-position model. The record is from RNAcentral.